UACGAAGGGUGCAAGCGUUAUCCGGAUUUAUUGGGUUUAAAGGGUGCGUAGGCGGGUUGGUAAGUCAGCGGUGAAAUCCUGUAGCUCAACUACAGAACUGCCGUUGAUACUACUGAUCUUGAGUAUGGUUGAUGUUGCUGGAAUGUGCAGUGUAGCGGUGAAAUGCUUAGAUAUUGCACAGAACACCAAUUGCGAAGGCAGGUAACAAAGCCACAACUGACGCUGAGGCACGAAAGUGUGGGGAUCAAACAGG
Molecule: ribosomal RNA, 253 nt
Filed under: uncultured bacterium
Lineage: Bacteria
Description: partial 16S ribosomal RNA
Rfam family: Bacterial small subunit ribosomal RNA
Source: RNAcentral